UUUAAACCAAGCUGGUCAUUCAAGCCUAACUACUCUCCGAAGGUGAUUGACCAAUCGCUGCAUUAAAUGAAGAACAUUCUGCAUUAAACACGUUUUUGUCUAUCAAUAUCCAAUAUUUAUGAUUCUUUUGGCAUAGUCUGUUCCAGACAUCUUUUAGGAGAGGAGGAGGAGGAGGAGGAGAAGGAGGAGGAUGGAGCAGUUUUUAUUCAUUUCACUUCUUGGCUGUACUAAUUUCCUCACUGGGAAAACGAAUGAUGUAAAAAAUGCGGCAUCCUCAGUUUUUGGCGAAAUACGAUCAAGCAAUGAAACAUUUGUGGACAAAACAUUAUGGCUGAAAGAAUUUCACGAGCUACCUUCCAAACACGUCUAUUUCAUAGCACCCUUGCGGUUCGGCAAAACAACUAACCUAAAAAUGAUGGAGGAAUUUUUCAGCAUCACUACAAACGAAAAGCAGACCCACAAACUUUUUGAGGACACCCUUAUCUACUCCAAAGAAAAGAGUUUUUUUGACAAUUACUUUAGAAAAUAUCCAGUAAUAUACUUCAAUUUCGAACUUCUUUUAUCCACAACGAGUAAGCUGACCUUCAGGAAAAACAUAUGCAAAAUAUUCACUGAUGUAAGAAACAACACUGACCCAAAUUUAUUCAAUCUAACCACUGAAGAAAAAAUGGUCAACUUAAAGGAAUUUAAUGAAGAGUGUGCGGACAAAUUUGAAUUCGGAAAGGCUACGAUUGACUACAUGAAGGCUUUGCACUCACACUAUGGUCAGAAAAUAAUCGUUUUGAUCGAUGAAAUGGACGCGUUGACGCGCGCUACUUUAAAAAGGGACAUCGUGGAGCAAGACGCGGUGGUAAUGGAAUUUGGGCACAUACUAAAAGAGUGGUUGGAGGGAAAUGAGUACAUUGAAAAGAGUUUUAGCGUCGGAUCCGUGUUUGCAAACGACCUACUUCAUGUCAACCCCUAUCCAGAUUGCAUCGAAAAAGUAGUUUACAACCUUACGGAACAGUACGCAAAAUACUUCGGCCUUACCGAAACAGAGGUAGAGCUUCUACUCGAGAAAUCCUCUCUGACAAGCGAUUUACACAGAUUCAAGUCGUACUACGAUGGAUAUGCUGUCGCGAAUUCUAGUAUACGUGUUUACAACACAAUUUCUCCUACCAAAUUUGUGAAGAAUCGGAAAUUCGCACCUUACUGGGCCGAAUCUGUUGAGCCAUUGAAAAACGAUUUUUUGGGUUUCUUCUCACGACCGUUAAUCGGAUCUCUGAUCGAGAAGGCUAUUUCUGAGGACAUGAACGAUCUGCCAAAAUUCGCCCGCCUCAAACAUUCGGUCGCGAAAGAUACGUUCCACGAUGUUCGUGGCGAUGCCAUCGUCGAUGCGAAGAAUACGGCUGCAGCUGGAGACAUUUUCUUCAACUUCCUUUAUGAGUCCGGUUAUGUCAGGUUUGUCACCAAGGACGGGUUCCUAGCGACCAAUCAGGACGCUGCUUACGCCCUGGGGACAACUUUGGCGCGAGAUUCGAACUACUACCAAUACGCGCGCAGUAUCCCAUCCGCUGCGAAGACUAAACUCAUCAAGGCUGUGAAAAAUUUAGCGCUAUCUGACGAGACGAUGAUAGAACUGGUAGCGGCCAUUCACGGAAUUUUUAAUCCGGCUUGUUCGUUGGUGACCAUGGAGCGAGUGUCUUACGUUGGCCCGAUUUUCGCAAUUUUAGCCUACGAAGACCCGGAGGCAUUCGAAGAAGUGCUGUCACCCUUGCGUGUUGGACUUCAGCCGAAGAAACCAGACGUGGUGCUCCUCCGCAAAGAUUCUGUCGCUUUUGUAUUCACAUUGAGGCGGGGGGGAAGUGCCCGCAAAGCUUCAGAAGCUGCUCUGGCCUCGGAAUACGUGAGCAUCUUUCAGCAGGACCUUAAGGAUGCCAAGAUUGAGUCGAAAAUUUUUGUAGGAAUUAAUCUAGAUUUUCAUUGUCAUGUAUCCAUUGGAUUUGGGAAAGAAGGCAUGCAAGAGAAAGAAAUUAAGGAGGUAGGCAUAGGCGGUCCAAUCAGAUGA
This 2047-nucleotide long non-coding RNA is filed under the name Bemisia tabaci. Its description in RNAcentral is "lncRNA ENSASIAIIG012664". Lineage: Eukaryota; Metazoa; Arthropoda; Insecta; Hemiptera; Aleyrodidae. The record is from RNAcentral.